CCCUUAGAGUUUGAUCCUGGCUCAGAACGAACGCUGGCGGCAGGCCUAACACAUGCAAGUCGAACGUGAAGCCACCUUCGGGUGGUGGAAAGUGGCAGACGGGUGAGUAACGCGUGGGAACGUACCCUUUGGUUCGGAACAACUCCGGGAAACUGGAGCUAAUACCGGAUGAGCCCUUACGGGGAAAGAUUUAUCGCCGAAGGAUCGGCCCGCGUCGGAUUAGCUUGUUGGUGGGGUAAUGGCCUACCAAGGCGACGAUCCGUAGCUGGUCUGAGAGGAUGAUCAGCCACACUGGGACUGAGACACGGCCCAGACUCCAACGGGAGGCAGCAGUGGGGAAUAUUGGACAAUGGGCGCAAGCCUGAUCCAGCCAUGCCGCGUGGGUGAAGAAGGCCCUAGGGUUGUAAAGCCCUUUCAGCGGGGACGAUAAUGACGGUACCCGCAGAAGAAGCUCCGGCUAACUUCGUGCCAGCAGCCGCGGUAAUACGAAGGGAGCUAGCGUUGUUCGGAAUUACUGGGCGUAAAGGGCGCGUAGGCGGACAUCUAAGUCAGGGGUGAAAUCCCAGGGCUCAACCCUGGAAUUGCCUUUGAUACUGGCUGUCUUGAGUUCGGGAGAGGUGAGUGGAAUUCCGAGUGUAGAGGUGAAAUUCGUAGAUAUUCGGAGGAACACCAGAAGCG
This 678-nucleotide ribosomal RNA is filed under the name uncultured bacterium. RNAcentral describes it as "bacterial SSU rRNA". It matches the Rfam family "Bacterial small subunit ribosomal RNA", at positions 1 to 717 of the family's 1533-position model. The record is from RNAcentral.